Long non-coding RNA from Labrus mixtus (cuckoo wrasse), 618 nucleotides. RefSeq lists it as uncharacterized. NCBI's taxonomy places the organism in Eukaryota, Metazoa, Chordata, Actinopteri, Labriformes, Labridae. The record is from RefSeq and is a predicted model, not a curated record. The transcript is spliced from 2 exons.
UGUCCAACAGGAAGGGGAAAAACUCCAUGUCUGAGGGUGAAAGACCACACAAGAUUCACCCUUGUUUCAGAACGAGCUUUAUCUGCCUCACUAUGAUUAUACUUUCUUCUUGCCGCUACACCCAUGUCUGGCAUAUUCACAGGUAGGAAAUCACACCCAAUUGCUGAACUGUUUCCACUCCUAAACUCAUCUGAGCGCUAUCAUUGGCUGGAGGAAACACAACAACUCCCCACCCAGAACCAGCCAGAGUCAAGAAAAGCAAACCAAAACAUAAAAAUCCAGUCAGAGGACAAAGUCUCUGCAGACUCAGGCUGUAUCCGAAUUGCCAAGUACCUACUCAAUCUGUCAGUAGGCAGUAGGCAGUAGUCAGUACCUACUAUCCGUGCUGUAUACUGUUUAGUACCUACUAUUCAGUAGGAGCGCACAGUAGGCAGAUAUUUGUUCCUUCGUCAUCUGAUUCAUUCAGUAAGGAAGUGGCGUCAUUUACGUUACCUGAACCUCCACCCGUUUUUUGUUUUUUUUAGCUUUAUUCAAGAAGAGUAAUGCGCAUAUACAGUCAGGUAAACAAAAAACAAUAUCACAAUGUAAAUCAAGUAAAAGACAGAUUAAAUAACUGAA